Long non-coding RNA from Carcharodon carcharias (great white shark), 320 nucleotides. RefSeq lists it as uncharacterized. NCBI's taxonomy places the organism in Eukaryota, Metazoa, Chordata, Chondrichthyes, Lamniformes, Lamnidae. The record is from RefSeq and is a predicted model, not a curated record. The transcript is spliced from 4 exons.
GUAACCGAAACAGCCUGACACGUGAAGGUAGCUGAACGCUGCAUCAGAUAAUGAGAAGAUACUCUUGUCAUCUUAAGAAAUUUCCUGUACAACUGCCCAAUGUUUCUUGGUUGAGAUGAUGUGAAGUGAAGAUGUUGAAAACAGAUUUCUCCAUGACUACAAAGGCUACUGUAGUGGAUCUGCCAGAAGUUGAGAACUCAGGCGAACUUGGUGGAGGCCAGGUUAGAGGACAGAGUUCUUGUUCCACUUGCAAUGUGUUACAGAUCAAACUCCUUUGGCAUUAACAUUCUUAAGUGCCGUCUUUUGCCGGAAAAGUGCAC